This is a long non-coding RNA of Schistocerca piceifrons (Central American locust), 1870 nucleotides long. RefSeq lists it as uncharacterized. NCBI's taxonomy places the organism in Eukaryota, Metazoa, Arthropoda, Insecta, Orthoptera, Acrididae. The transcript has 2 exons. The record is from RefSeq and is a predicted model, not a curated record.
UUGUGUUUUAUUCAGUUGCUGUCAGACGGUCCAUAAGUGAAAAUUAUCAAUAUACCGUAGUAUUACGCGCAACUGAUGAGGACAGGACCACAAAAGUUGAAAACUAUUCUCAUACUUAAUACUCUUUACUAAGUAAAUGUAAAGUGGGCCGUACUUGAUUUAAAGAAACUUGACAUCACUGCAGGGAUAGUUUAAAUAUCUAUUACUGUUCUGCAGUACAGAAUAGUAUAUUUUUAUAUCACUUAUUCUCUACUCUUACAGUUUUUACUAUUUGCCUUUAAAAUAUGUUCCUGGCAAGUUGUGGACACAUCCAUUUUAAGUGUUAUUAAAGGGGCUCUUUAUCAUUGGGGUACAGUUAACCAAUGACUGUUCAACUAGUAAUGUGCUGUUGUGCAAGCAGUAGCUUUAUAAUGAAAUCCCAGGGCAAAGGCAGCUGCCCUGCAUAUGGGUCACAGAUGGAUGGAGGCUCUUUAUGUCCAGGUAGUACUGCCGACAUGGCAGCGUGAUGGCGAUUCGUUAACCCCAGCUGCUGUUCUACGCGUGGUGCAAGAUUUGCUGGGGGGGACCGAUAGCUGUUAUUCUUGUGGGUGGCAGCAACCUGGAUCGUUCAGUGCUGUCAGCCCAUAGACAGCACAUCUCACCAUCCUGGUGGCUGUUCUGUACAUCUGGAACCUUCGGUUUUCCGGACAAACUUCUGCCAUGUCGGUCUGCUCUCAGGGUGGCACAGGCGUAUCUUGUUCCUGGGACACUGAGAGGAAGAGCAACCCAACGGCAGCUGUGCUCAUGCUGCAGGAUUGGGUUGGUGGCCUCUUUACUAAUAUGGUGCUGGAGGCUGCUCAGCGUACAGCGCACCAGAGGGUAGGCACUUCUUUUUGUGAUGAGUGCUUGGUUUUUGGGGAGCAAGUAAGCUGCUAAUAGGAAGCUGUAUUUGUUUAAAAGCUGUUUGAAAACUGACUGUAAGAUAUCAGUACUUUUGGCAGAUAAUCUAAUUUCAUUUUACGCAUUUAACUAGUCAAUGGAUUCAGUGAGAUAACGUAUGGUGUAACUAGUCUCUCUGUACUGACAUAUUUCAUAACCUUUGAAAAAGCAAUACAUUCCAAUGAGUUUUUAGAUAUCUAGAACUUUACAUUCAGUAUAAUGUAGUUCUGUACCACUUUCUCUUCAAUCCGUUAUUCUUAUUGCUUUUCUCUAAGAGUUUUCCAUUUUCACAACAGAGCCAUAAAACAUUCAUUUUAUGUCCUGAGAAAGUAUGACAUUGAGGCAAUUAAAUUAGAACCAUAUUCAUUUUUAUAUCAUUGGCGCUCAGCUAAACAUUUUGACUGUUUAAAUACCGUGGCUCUGUCGCACAAGCGGUAUCUUUAUUUGCAAUGCAAUGUUCGGCUACCUGCAGUUCUGCCCUGCUGGUGGAACACGGAUGGAUGGAAGUUCAUAUGUCCAGGUUGACAGUGGCAGAUCUACUCGUCAUGAAAAAUUGGCCUCCAGCUGCCGAUCUACUCACGGUGCAAGAUCAUCUAGGCGGCCUCUUUGCUAACGGCGUAUCGUUAACCCUAUGAUGGCUCAUGUCUUGCUCAUCAACGUCUUGGUGGCAUGUCUCUUUGGGCACAGACGCUCCAGAGGCUGCUCUUCUCGUGGUGUUUGAACUUUCUGCGCGUGGGUCAGAAUGAGAAUGGUGACUGCUGACCAGCCGGCAUCUGCACUCCGUUCUGGCACAGGCAGCCUUGCAACGACCAUGUGCAGCGGUACAUGUAGGAAUAUAUAUUGUAAUAGCACUUAACCCUUAGUUUAUCUUUUUUACUAUUAUCUAUAAAGCUAUAAAAUGUUUCAGUUUUAAAAAAGAUCAAUUUUUAAUAUAAUAAUAAUUCCUUAGAUA